UCGAGGGGCAGCACGGUGUAGCGAUACACUGGUGGCGACCGGCGCACGGGUGAGUAACACGUGUGCAACCAACCCCGUACCGGGAGAUAACCCGCGGAAACGUGGACUAACAUCCCAUGAUACUCGAGAGCCGCAUGGCUCUAGAUUUAAAAUUCCGGUGGUACGGGACGGGCACGCGCGACAUUAGGUAGUUGGCGGGGUAAGGGCCCACCAAGCCGACGAUGUCUAGGGGUUCUGAGAGGAAGGUCCCCCACACUGGAACUGAGACACGGUCCAGACUCCUACGGGAGGCAGCAGUGAGGAAUAUUGGUCAAUGGGCGAGAGCCUGAACCAGCCAAGUCGCGUGAGGGACGAAUGGUCUAUGGCCUGUAAACCUCUUUUGUCAAGGAAGAAUAAAUCGCACGGGUGCGAUCUUGCCAGUACUUGACGAAUAAGCAUCGGCUAACUCCGUGCCAGCAGCCGCGGUAAUACGGGGGAUGCGAGCGUUAUCCGGAUUUAUUGGGUUUAAAGGGCGCGUAGGCGGGACGUCAAGUCAGCGGUAAAAGACUGCAGCUAAACUGUAGCACGCCGUUGAAACUGGCGACCUGGAGACGAGACGAGGGAGGCGGAACAAGUGAAGUAGCGGUGAAAUGCAUAGAUAUCACUUGG
RNAcentral lists this ribosomal RNA (648 nucleotides) under uncultured bacterium. RNAcentral describes it as "bacterial SSU rRNA". It matches the Rfam family "Bacterial small subunit ribosomal RNA", at positions 62 to 704 of the family's 1533-position model. The record is from RNAcentral.